UACGUAGGGGGCAAGCGUUGUCCGGAUUUAUUGGGCGUAAAGAGCGUGUAGGCGGCUUGGCAAGUCCGCUGUGAAAACUCGAGGCUCAACCUCGAGAUGUCGCCGGAAACCAGUCGGCUAGAGUCCGGAAGAGGAGAGUGGAAUUCCUGGUGUAGCGGUGAAAUGCGCAGAUAUCAGGAGGAACACCGAUGGCGAAGGCAGCUCGCUGGGACGGUACUGACGCUGAGACGCGAAAGCGUGGGGAGCGAACAGG
RNAcentral lists this ribosomal RNA (253 nucleotides) under uncultured bacterium. Its description in RNAcentral is "partial 16S ribosomal RNA". It matches the Rfam family "Bacterial small subunit ribosomal RNA", at positions 524 to 776 of the family's 1533-position model. The record is from RNAcentral.